This 201-nucleotide long non-coding RNA is filed under the name Elaeis guineensis (African oil palm). RNAcentral describes it as "long non-coding RNA (EGUI_LNC066937)". The record is from RNAcentral. Lineage: Eukaryota; Viridiplantae; Streptophyta; Magnoliopsida; Arecales; Arecaceae.
UGAUUCGAUCACAUAUUCAAUUUCAGCAUAUGUUCAAUUUCAACAUAUAAAGUAGAUCCUAGUGCUUUAUAUUUUAUAUAUGCAUGAUGUAGAUUAAAAGGUGUUUUAAUCUUCUAUUCUGCUAUGAUGUUUAGAAAAAAAAAAUUUUGAAACAUAAAUACAUGCUUUGACAUUGAAAUUCCAAUACUUUAUGGCUGAUCA